RNAcentral lists this ribosomal RNA (392 nucleotides) under uncultured bacterium. Its description in RNAcentral is "bacterial SSU rRNA". It matches the Rfam family "Bacterial small subunit ribosomal RNA", at positions 336 to 722 of the family's 1533-position model. The record is from RNAcentral.
CUCCUACGGGAGGCAGCAGUCGGGAAUUUUGGGCAAUGGGCGAAAGCCUGACCCAGCAACGCCGCGUGAAGGAUGAAAUCCCUCGGGAUGUAAACUUCGCAAGAACGGGAAGAAUAAGCCUAUGUUAAUACCAUAGGCGAUGACGGUACCGUUUGUAAGCUCCGGCUAACUCCGUGCCAGCAGCCGCGGUAAUACGGGGGGAGCAAGCGUUGUUCGGAUUUACUGGGCGUAAAGGGCGCGUAGGCGGCCACCGCAAGUCAGUUGUGAAAUCUCCGAGCUUAACUCGGAAAGGUCAACUGAUACUGCGGGGCUAGAGUGCGGAAGGGGCAACUGGAAUUCUCGGUGUAGCGGUGAAAUGCGUAGAUAUCGAGAGGAACACCUGCGGCGAAGGC